CUGUGAUUUUGGCAUUUCUUAGACAAUUUUGGAUUAAUUAUGAAAACAACUACUCUCUGAGCAAU
This is a small nucleolar RNA of Colobus angolensis palliatus, 65 nucleotides long. Its record names the gene SNORD58. It matches the Rfam family "Small nucleolar RNA SNORD58". Rfam says of the family: snoRNA U58 is found in introns 1, 3 and 6 of the ribosomal protein RPL17 gene in humans. U58 is a member of the C/D class of snoRNA which contain C (UGAUGA) and D (CUGA) box motifs. The record is from Ensembl. Lineage: Eukaryota; Metazoa; Chordata; Mammalia; Primates; Cercopithecidae.